This 467-nucleotide ribosomal RNA is filed under the name uncultured bacterium. RNAcentral's name for it is "partial 16S ribosomal RNA". It matches the Rfam family "Bacterial small subunit ribosomal RNA", at positions 28 to 506 of the family's 1533-position model. The record is from RNAcentral.
GACGAACGCUGGCGGCGUGCUUAACACAUGCAAGUCGAACGGAAAGGCUCUGCUUUUGUGGGGUGCUCGAGUGGCGAACGGGUGAGUAACACGUGAGUAACCUGCCCUUGACUUUGGGAUAACUUCAGGAAACUGGGGCUAAUACCGGAUAGGAGCUCCUGCUGCAUGGUGGGGGUUGGAAAGUUUCGGCGGUUGGGGAUGGACUCGCGGCUUAUCAGCUUGUUGGUGGGGUAGUGGCUUACCAAGGCUUUGACGGGUAGCCGGCCUGAGAGGGUGACCGGCCACAUGGGGACUGAGAUACGGCCCAGACUCCUACGGGAGGCAACAGUGGGGAAUAUUGCACAAUGGGUGGAAGCCUGAUGCAGCAACGCCGCGUGCGGGAUGACGGCCUUCGGGUUGUAAACCGCUUUCGCCUGUGACGAAGCGUGAGUGACGGUAAUGGGUAAAGAAGCACCGGCUAACUACGU